GGGGCUGUGGUGUAAUUGGGAACACAGUCGUUUCGACAGGUAGAGGUCCGAUUACUCUCAGCUCCACCA
Molecule: transfer RNA, 69 nt
Filed under: Chloroflexi bacterium CG_4_9_14_3_um_filter_45_9
Lineage: Bacteria; Bacillati; Chloroflexota
Description: tRNA-OTHER
Source: RNAcentral